This 120-nucleotide ribosomal RNA is filed under the name uncultured bacterium. RNAcentral's name for it is "partial 16S ribosomal RNA". It matches the Rfam family "Bacterial small subunit ribosomal RNA", at positions 796 to 914 of the family's 1533-position model. The record is from RNAcentral.
CACGCUGUAAACGAUGUGCACUAGAUGUAGGGGGUGUUGAUCCCCUCUGUGUCGCAGCUAACGCAUUAAGUGCACCGCCUGGGGAGUACGGUCGCAAGAUUAAAACUCAAAGGAAUUGAC